This 476-nucleotide ribosomal RNA is filed under the name uncultured bacterium. RNAcentral describes it as "partial 16S ribosomal RNA". It matches the Rfam family "Bacterial small subunit ribosomal RNA", at positions 30 to 507 of the family's 1533-position model. The record is from RNAcentral.
AUUGAACGCUGGCGGCAUGCCUUACACAUGCAAGUCGAACGGUAACAGGUUAAGCUGACGAGUGGCGAACGGGUGAGUAAUGUAUCGGAACGUGCCCAGUCGUGGGGGUAACUGCUCGAAAGAGGAGCUAAUAACGCAUACGACCUGGGGGUGAAAGCGGGGGGUCGCAAGACCCCGCGCGAUUUGAGCGGCCGAUAUCAGAUUAGGUCGUUGGGUGGGUAAAGGCUCACCAAGCCGACGAUCCGUUGCUGGUCUGAGAGGACGACCAGCCACACUGGGACUGAGACACGGCCCAGACUCCUACGGGAGGCAGCAGUGGGGAAUUUUGGACAAUGGGCGCAAGCCUGAUCCAGCCAUGCCGCGUGCGGGAAGAAGGCCUUCGGGUUGUAAACCGCUUUUGUCAGGGAAGAAAAGGUUCUGGCUAAUACCUGGGACUCAUGACGGUACCUGAAGAAUAAGCACCGGCUAACUACGUG